AAGAAAACAUCCUAGAACGUCAUCCUCUGAGACUCAGUACAUAAAGAGGAGACUAAAACCUCUGUAGCUUCAAAAACGGGGAAGGAGCAAUGAGGGUAAGGGGGCGAAAGACAUUAGCAGGUUCGAAAGCCAGUAAUUCCAAUUAGAAAGCAAAACACAAAAUACAAAAAAUUAAAUAAAGGAAAAAGCCAAGACGGAGAAGCUCCCGGAAGUAAAAUCAACAAUCGAGAAGGGUAAAGCAAAAGCGCGGAAGCGGCCACCGAAUGUUCCCACGGCUCAAAGCCACGGGACCGCGACCCGCAGGAGGCCCGAGGCCCAGGACACCCGCGACCCGGAACGCAAACCUCGAGCCCGAGGCACCGCGGGGGCGAGUUCCCGGGAACGCCUCCCGCCCUUCUCAGGCAACCCCGCCCACUGGGCCCGCCCCGUCCCGCCGGCUACUCACCGGAUUCGCUUCCCACAUAACGGAUUCCCGGGACUUGGCCCAGUGCUUGGCUGUGGAUUUCUGCAUCUGUUCCAUCAGUAACUGGACGAAGGCUCUCCGAUAACAAUUGGGGUAUCCAAAACUCACAAGACUGUUUUUUAGCAAGUCUCUCAGCAAGGCUGUGGACAAACCCUUUUACAAACUGGGUAGCUAGCGACUGAGGGACCUACUGGUUGAAGUCCUCGUUGAACAAACCACCGUACCCAGGAAGCCCUCAGACAGUGUCAUACUAACUCAGAGGGGGACUGAACAGGAUGCCACCAGCCCUUGUUUGGGCCCAGUGACACAGUAUGCCGGCUUGCACACGUGGACAGACACAAAGCGAGAAGAGUAACUAACAUGCUGCUGUGUGGUAGAGGCGGGAUGGGCGUCUACCAACAAGAAGCCAAAGGAAACACAGCAGGAUGCAAUGGGAGGGAAACAAAGGUUCUUUAUUUCAGUUAAAAAAGAAAUAAAUGGAAAAAAGCUCAGUUCUUUGAAGCACUGAAGCAAGACAACAUGAAAAAAGUCUUAAGAAUUUUAGUUAAGAAAAAGCCGGCGUGACCAAAGAAACAGUUCUUGGUACAGACACAAGACAACUGGACAAACAAACAAACAAAAAUGAGCAGACCUCCAUGAUUGAGAGGAAUUUGUUCAGAGCAGGGCGGUGAGACUGGAGCUAUUGUCUGUCUCUGAGCAUCAUGGCUUACUAUGGGCACCACGUUUCUCCUGCACUGCCACCUUUGUUAUUCUUUUAGUCCUGAAAGAAUACAGUCAUCAUCACAAAGGGCAGAGUGGCAGAAAAAAGAAAAACGUCACUUUACGUUCACUUCAUAGACAACCGUUGCCAUCUUGGCUUUGAAAACACGGCUUUGAUAGAUAUGUAUUACCCUAUGGUACGACCAUGCUCGGCUUUAAAUGCCUCUAUUUUGAGUACUUGCACUUCCUCCGUUUGGAGGUGCUGGUGGUAAGGUGGCAUGCUGAUUUUAAAGAGGAUACCGACAAAGUAGUGGGCAACCCAGGGAGAACACUAGAUUCGUGAAUUGUCCUGGAAAUCAUGUCACAAGAGGGGCGUUUCCAAAACCUGUGAAGGCUGAUUCCAGAGAGGAGCCCUGACAGCGGGCCACUCCCAACUCCAUAAUGCCGUCAAGUGGGAAAAGGAAUGAAUUCAUUUUGUGUGGCUCCAGCAGGUCAAACCAAGAGCAGAAAAGUGGUUGGAGGGAGCCUGGCUUUAUCCCCAUGGACAACAAAUCCCUGCAGCCCACCAGCAGACUGAGCAGCCUUAUGAGGGAGAAAUGAUGAAAUCCUGGAAAGUGGACAAUUGGAGGUAAGACGGCCACCUGGAUCAAGAAUGUGGGAAGAAAUUCCUAUAUUCCUUCUGACUGUAAGACUUGGUGCUUCUUUUCUGAGUUAAAAAGAGGUCAUGAAGAACGUUAUCAGUGGCAAGUAGCAAAAAAGUCAAUGCCAUUCACUGUACUGUUGGUAUACGUAAGCAUUAAAAUUCACAGAUACAAGA
Molecule: long non-coding RNA, 1979 nt
Organism: Peromyscus eremicus (cactus mouse)
Lineage: Eukaryota; Metazoa; Chordata; Mammalia; Rodentia; Cricetidae
Exons: 4
Source: RefSeq, a predicted model, not a curated record